UGGGGAAUAUUGCACAAUGGGCGAAAGCCUGAUGCAGCAACGCCGCGUGCGGGAUGACGGCCUUCGGGUUGUAAACCGCUUUCAGUAGGGACGAAGCUAACGUGACGGUACCUACAGAAGAAGGACCGGCCAACUACGUGCCAGCAGCCGCGGUGAUACGUAGGGUCCGAGCGUUGUCCGGAAUUAUUGGGCGUAAAGAGCUUGUAGGCGGCUUGUCACGUCGGAAGUGAAAACUUGGGGCUCAACCCCAAGCCUGCUUCCGAUACGGGCUAGCUAGAGGAAGGUAGGGGAGAACGGAAUUCCGGGUGGAGCGGUGGAAUGCGCAGAUAUCCGGAGGAACACCAGUGGCGAAGGCGGUUCUCUGGACCUUUCCUGACGCUGAGAAGCGAAAGCGUGGGGAGCAAACAG
This 408-nucleotide ribosomal RNA is filed under the name uncultured bacterium. RNAcentral describes it as "bacterial SSU rRNA". It matches the Rfam family "Bacterial small subunit ribosomal RNA", at positions 355 to 775 of the family's 1533-position model. The record is from RNAcentral.